AAAUAUAUAUAUAUAUAUAUAUUUUUCUAUUUUCUGACAUGAAUAUAUAUAUAUAAAAAGUAUAUAGUAACAAAUUCAUUGCAAUUGACACUGCAUAAUAUAUUUACAUAAAGACAUGUGUAAUGUAUUUCAACAAUCAAAGCAGAAGCUAACUCUGAUUCCAUAUUAUUUAUAAUACAAUUUUAAUAAAAAAUAAUAAUUCAGAAAUAAUUUUAGCCUUCGUUUGAAAUUACGAAGAGAUUGCAUGACUACAUACAAUAAAAAAGUAUGAAAAAAAAAUUAAAUAUUUAUUUUUAGGAAUAAUUGUCUAUAUACCCCUCAAAACUUCAGAAAUAUCUCGUUUAACUCUACUUUUUUUUUUCUUUCCAAUAUAUCCCUUAUAUAUUCCUCCGUUAUUCCAAAAUAUCCCCGCAGUUAUCACCUGUUAAGUUAACUUGGGUUAAACGUGGGUUAAAUAUCUACCACAGUUAAAAAAAAUUAAAAUACCACUUUUGUCCUUAACUUAAAGUCAAAUAAGAAAUGUUGGUGAAUAUGGUAGAAGUAUAUAUUUGAAAAGAUUAAAAAGUAAAAUACUUUUUAUGCCCCUAACUUAAGGACAAAUAAGGAAAGUCGGUGCUGGUAGAAGGAUAUAUUUAAAAGGGCAAAAUAGUAAUUUCAUAGAGAUAACAGAGUUCAUUAACCGAUCUUAACUCUAGGGAUAUAUUUGAAAUAGAUUGGAACGUAAAAAAUAUAUUUUCAAUAUUAGCCUUCUAAAAAAGAUAAAUCAGAAAGUCGAAAAGAUAUUUUUCGAGAUAUAAGUAAUUGCCCCUUAUUUUUAUUACAUAAUAUCAUAUUUUAUAUAUCAUAAUGAAUCAGGUAUAAUAUUUUUUUUUCUCUCAUUAAAAAGAAUAAAAAUAACACUUUUAUACACUUUCAUCUAAAUUUCGUUUUACCUGUUGGCAUUACAUUUUGCCUCCGUAACAAGCAAGAUAUUAAUUGCAUAUAUAACUCCCAACCCCAUCCAUCAAAGCUAAGCCUCUAUAUAAACCCCUCACACCAUCACUACGACACUCCACUGAGCAACACUACUACUACUACUAUUAUUACUACUACUACUACUACUACACAAACUAAACACUUCCUCCCUCUCUAUAAAAUGUCCGGCCGCUCUUCCGCACCGCUUACGGCCGCGGCGCUGCUGCUGGGCGUGCUGCUGCUGGCAGCGCCGGCGGCGGAGGCGCUGACGUGCGGGCAGGUGGUGUCGUUCAUCUCGCAGUGCCUGCAGUACGCGCGAGGCCCGGGCACCAGCCCGCCGCCCGCGGCCUGCUGCAGCGGCGUGAAAGGGCUGAACAACGCCGCGCAGUCGACGCCCGACCGGCAGACCGCCUGCAACUGCCUGAAGAAAGCCGCCGGAACGGUCACCGGGCUGAAGGCCGGCCUCGUCGCCGGCAUCCCCCAACAGUGCGGGGUCAACGUCCCCUACGCCAUCAGCACCUCCACCGACUGCUCUAAGUAAGAACACAUACAUGUCAUCCGCUUAUGAGUCAGUUUUGUACGCAUGACAAAUUUACUGUCUAAAGAAUGAACUUUUCAUUGAACGACGAGUACUAAUUAAAGAUGUGGUCGGUACCAUAGAAAAUGAACUCAAAAAUAUAUUUAACAAAAUUUAUAAAAAAAAUAUACUUAAAAAUUAGGUAUAAAUUUGUUGGCCACUCCAGAUUUUGAAAUUAUAUACCUGAGAUUUUAGUUAGAAAUUCUCAUACUUAGUUGCAGGGAUUGCAAUGUUACGGAGAUCUAUCUAACACUUUCUUUUUUGUUUUUUGUCUUUUUUUGCUAAUUUUAAUGCAGGGUGCGCUAAGUUUAAAGCAAGGGGGAGGUGGUCAUGAGUUAGGAGGAGUAACUAAGAAUAAUAAGGUGGAGAGAGCUCUUUUGGAACACCUUUGAUGCGUGUCACGUUGUGUUCAUGGGCUCCUAAAUUAUCCAACUUUUUUAUAUCCAUGCAUGUGUCAAUGUUUGUCUCUCUUUCCUCAAGCUAUACAUCCUUAGUGGGCUUGGGUUUUGUAGCACUUGUUUCCUGUUUAUGAUGUGAUCAAAGACAUGUUCUACUUAUUUGAAUGGUUUACAUCUAGUCUAUACUUUAUGUCUAUACUUUAUGAUUGUGUUUAUACUUUAUGAUUGUGUUUGGUUGAAAAUGUGAAUCGUAAUCAGCAUAAAAUUAAAAUGGACUAUAAUAAAAACAAAGCGGUACGUAGUAUAUAUAUGCUGCAAUACUAUCGAUAAGAUCCAAUUUGCUUAAUGGAAUCGAACUGUUGGAUAAAAGGAUGUGUGGUUAGGAUGAUAGUGAUCAAUUUUUUAGAGUUAAGUGCGUAGUUGGUUGGUUGAAUAGUAUAAUCUAACGAGUAAAAAUGAUCAAAGAAUAGAUCUAAUGGCAGAAGACUCGAUAAUACCAAAAGCUUGGUACCAUCGAUAGUGUAGUAGCCGGACUCCGGACUCUCUCUCUCUCUCUAUAUAUAUAUACAAAAAUCAUAAUUUUAAAGUGUAAUCAAUUUAAACAAAUGAAGCCUAUUUGAGAAGAAGCUUAAAUGGGCACAAAUCAUCAUGAACACUUCAUACUUGAUAUAUUGAAGGUUUGCUGAAAGUAUUUUCUUAAAAACAUAUAUAUGCCAUGUUUGAAUCACAAAACAGACAUCUUUUUUUUUAAAAAAAUAAACUUUCUUGAAAUUGUGAAGUAACUAGAUUUCGAAUUAUUAGGAACAAGCACACCGAGAUCUUUCUUUGUUUUUAAUUCUUGAAAAUAAACUCGAUUACUAACCAUAAAGCCUUCUAAUGGAACAAGCACACAUAGAUCUUUUUUGUUUUUAAGAGGCCCAUGAGCCAAGUUAAGUUGUGAACUUCAAAAACCUUGGGAUCGUAUAAUUCAUAGCAUCUAUUCGGUGCUCGAAUGCUCGAAUUAGGAUGUUAAUUAGGUUUUCCAUAUUUUCUGCUGCUAGUACAAGUGGUAGGAACAAAUGAUACCUGAUUACUCGAAUCCCAUUGGUUUUGGGUUUGAAUUCAUGAUGUUUUCUACUUUACCGUGUAUAGACUACAGAGCAUGCGCAUGCUUUAAAACUACCUCUUGAUUUUUUUUUUUUUUUUUUUUUAAGAAAUAGAUAGCACGCUACCCGCUUCGUUUAUUUCAUUUAGAAAUAAACUUAGCUGAAAAUGUGAAACAACUAGGAUUCGAAUUUGGGUCUUAGGUACCAACCACCCAGCCCUUUACCACUUGCUCUAAGGACGAUCGGUUGAAUUCAUGAUGCUGCCCUUCGAAUUUUGUUUUCUCUGUACCUUGCCGCAUACGAUUGUUUCCAAAGAACAACAAAACAUAACUUAUGAAACUUAUAUAAAAUAUAAUCCACUUUGAAAGGAAUAGAUAAUGUAUAUUUGUUAAGUUUGCUAUUUAAUCUUUUAAUUUAUAUGAUUUUAGCUAUUGGAUGGCUUUUUUUGUUAUUGUGUUUUGACGCUUUACUUAUUUUAGCGGAUCACUUGAUUAAUUUAAAUAUCUCAGUGAUUCACAUGACUACACGCUUGUUAAAGCAAGCCAAACUGUGAAUUCUAAGGCCAUGUUUGGUUGGGGAACAAGGGUGGGGAUAAGGGGUUAUCCCCCCCUUGUUCCCCAAACACUAUUUUUAAAGGUGGGAACUAGCUAUUCCCACCCUUAACGGGUUAUCCUAGGAUAACCCGUUAAGGGUGGGAAUAGCUAGUUUCCCACCCUUAGGUGGAAUAGGGUGGGAACAAGUUGUUCCACCCUUAUUUUUAAAAAAAUAAAAAUUAAAAAUUUUAAUUUUAAUUUUAGUUUUAAAAUUAUAAUUGGUAAUUCAAAAUUCAAGUUUAUAGUUUUAAAUUUUAAAUUUAAAUUUUAAAUUUUAAUUAAAUUUUAUAUUUUUUAAUAUAAAUUUGAUAUUUAUAUUUUAAAAUUUAAUUUGAUCUUAAAUUUUAAAUUUUAAAAUUAAAAUUUUAAUUUUUGAAUUUAAAAAAAAGUAUUUUUAGGAUCACCCUGCUUGUUCCACCCAUGAAGAGAGAGAGAGAGAGAGAGAGAGAAUUUAAUUUAUUAUAAAAUUUAAAUUAUAAAUUCAAAAAUUAAAAUUUAUAAUUUUAAAAUUACAAAAUUAAAAAUUUAAAUUUUAAAUUGUUUAAUUUAAAAUUUAAAAUUUUGAUAUUUAAAUUUUUUUUAUAUUUAGAAUUUGAUAUGUUAUUUUUUAAAUUAAAAUUUCAUCUUAAAUUUAAUGUUCAAACUUUAAAAAAUUAAUUUUUUAAAAUUAUAAAUUUGAGAUUUUAAAAUUUAAAAUUUUAAUUUUAAUUUUUAAAUUAAAAGUUUAUAUUUUAACUUUUAAAAUAUAAAUAUAAAAUAUAAAAGUUUAAAUUCUAAUAUAAAGAAAAAGAUAAUAUCAUUAUUUUUUAUUUUUAACUACCAACUUUAAUUCUUAUCCCAUCUUACCUAACCAAACGCUAUUUUUCUUAUUCCCAGCAAUAACUCAAUUUUCAUCCAAACACAAAAUUGAUCUAAUUCUCGCUUAUACCUCAAUUUAUACCUAUCCCUGGAAUACCCACUUUUUGCUUAUCCCCGAACCAAACGAUACCUAAAAGUUUUAGUUUUAGUAUCUCAUCUUCUAAAUUAUUUUUAUUUAAGUUAUUUGGUAGUUUCUCAAUUAUUAAUAUUUGGACGCACCCUUCAUUUUGAUGUGAACAUACGCAUGCAAUAGUAUAUUCUAAUCAAAUACGUUGGAAAAAAGAAUACCUCCAAAUAGUAAAGUUGAAAGAAAGAUGAUCAAAUUACUCAAAUUAAUAAAUCAAAAGGAAUUGAGCUAUAGAAACACCAACCUUUCAAUACUUCAAUUUAGUUUAUUCUAUAAUGGCAUCUCGUAAGUUAUGAUCUUCAUCUCAUAAACUUUUUAGAAAAUAAAUUUUAUAUUGUUUGAUAUUAUUUAUCUAGUGAUUAAGCGGUCUCAAAUACAUCUUUUAUAUGCUGAUGAAAUUUAUUGACUCUGAGACUAUUUGAAUAAAUAGUAAAUAAUGUCGAAAAAUUACGAAAUCUUAUCUUUAAAAGUUCGUAGCAUGUAAAUCAUGUUCAAUAGUGUUGAUCAUUAAUCCGGAAGCCUUAUCAUCGAAUACAACGUAAAAACACUAAGGAGUUGGUACUUAAACCAUUCUGGCCAAACUCAAUUAAUUAAAAAAUAAUAUCAAAAAUAAAAUAUUUAAAUACUCAGAUAGUGGAAUCAAAAUAUGUUAUAAUUCAUAAUAUAAUUUUAAGUUUUUUUUUUUUGAGAAAUAGAUAGCAUGCUAGCCGCUUCGUUUAUUUUAUUUAUUUAAAAAUAAACUUAGCUAGAAAUAUGAAUCAACUAGAAUUCGAACUAGAGACCUCGGGUACCAACCACCAAAUCCUUUGCCACUUGCUCUAGGGACAAUCGGUGUAAUUUUUAAAGUUUUAAAAAAGAGAAAUGCUACUUCUAUACAACAAUUAAAGUAGGAUUAAAUCUUACAUCCAUCCAUCCAUCCAAGAGCUUAGACACUUCUUUUAGACCUUUAAUAUUAAAAAAAUAAUAAUAAGUAUAAAAUUAUUGGCCUUUUGAUGAUAGAGUAUAAAAUCUACGCUUAUUUUUUCAAAAAAAAAGCCUUGAUAAUUAAGACAAAAGAAACACCUAUAAGAAAUUAAGAAGAUUAUAAGCCCACCAAUUUGACCCUUUAAAUACGGCACAGAAUAAUCCAAACCGUGUUGUAGCUGUUGCUGAUGCUCGAAGCUUAUAGCUACGCACGUAAAGGGCUCAUCAGCACGGUAUCCAUAUAUUAAAUGCAUCUUUGUAUCACGGACGUGACUAUAGACUUUGCAUUUCGUGUUCGACAGUCAUGUGCCCGUGUGUCAGACUCAUGUCCGACAUGAAUGCAACAUCGACGCAGGGCGCAUCCCACGAUCACGAUGGGUGCGAAUGUUGGGAAUCGGGUACUCGUCCCGAUAGCGAAUUUUGAGUAUUCAUAAUCCGCUCCGGUAUGAACUGCUGUGAAUUCGGUAUCGAUUGCUGGAAUUUCGCAACGGAAGCGUCGAAUCAAAUUUUUUACUAUAAACCCGUCUCUUCAGCAAAAGCUGAUACAAUCACAAAGAGAAAAAAAAAACAACCAAACAGAAAAUAUAUAUCUGAAUCCUAAUAUAUUUAGACGGGUUAAUUUCAUACAGGUCCCUGCAAACAUGGUGAAUAGCAGAUAUAUUCCUAUAAAAUUCGACUUUUAUAAGUUAUUCCUAUAAAAGUCUUAAUAUAUUCAGAUAUGUCCCUGCCGGUAAGAUUCGUUAGAGAAAACUAGUUAAUCACAAUUAAAUACUAAAGUAUGGUUAAUUAAUAAUGCGAAUUGACAAUUUUGUCAUUCUUCUUCUUCCUCUUCUUCUUCCUCUUCCUCUCUUGCUUCUUCUGCUUCAUCUUCUUCUUCAUCCUUUUCCUCUUCUUCCUCUCCUGCUUCUUGUUUUUUCUUUUCUUUUUCGUAUCCUCAUUUUCCUCCUCCUUUUCUCCUCCUCCUUCUUCUUCUUCAUCGCCGUCAUCGAUGAUCCGAUCGUCGUCGCCGUCGUGGUGCCUACGCCGGCUGUCAUCACGGGCGCCUCCGAAAGCAUCGGCCACGCCUUUGCCUUCCGCAUCUUCCUUGUCCUCGUUGGCUGCAACCCGAACAAGCUCCACAAGGUUGCCGUCGCCACCACUGCUGCCACCGUCUGCUCCCACAACCUGAAGAGGAAGAGGAAGAGGGCAAGGGCAAAAUUAUCAUUUUACAACUCUACUGCUAAAAAAUUAACAGUUCUCUAACGGAUCCUAACCAUAGGGACAUAUUUGAAAAUAUUAAGACUUUUGUAGGAAUAUGAUCUGAAAGUUGAAUUUUGCAGGAAUAUAUCUGCAAUUUACUAUAUUUGCGAGAAUCUAUAUGAAAUUAAUCCUAUUAGAAUUCCUAUUCCAAUAAAUAUUUAAAUUUUAAUUGAUUUAUCUCCAAAAGAUUUAAAUAUUUAUCCUAAUCUAGUUAGAUUCCUACUCUAAUUAAUAUUUAAAUUUUAAUUUAUCUCCAACAGAUUUAAAUAUUAAUUCUUAUCUAACUAGAAUUAAUCUAUAAAUAUAAUCAAAUCCUAACAACGACUACAAAAUCAAAUAGAAGUGUAAAGACAAUUAAGGGUCCAGCUAUGAAAAAAUUUUAGAAUGCAACGGGGAUAUUGGUGACGUGGCGUAACAAACCAAUCAAAAAUUUGCUUUUACAGACAUAUGUCUCAUCAUGAUUAUAAAAAAAAAUGUUUAUUGUACUUUUGUUUGAAAAGAAGAAAGAUGAUUGGCCAGUUAUUGAUGACGUGGUGUAAGUAUAAUAGUGUAGAAUUCCUCCCAUCUAGGAUGCUUCUCAGAAGUUGCUAUUUAUAGUUUUUAAAUUUUUAGAUUUAUAAUAAAAUUACUACCAAAUAGUAAAUCCAAAUAAUCCAAAAGCUAAAUAGUUAAAAAAUAUAACCAAAUGCAUUCCAACUCAAUACAGGAUAAUAAUAUUCCUAUCACUCAUAAGAUAACAAUAAUCCCCAACCAAAUUGGACCAAAAAAAGACUUUUGUGCAGUCAUUUUUAAAAACUAAAAAACAAAAAACAAAGACUUAUGUUGACUAUUUAAUUUCAACCACAUUAUCGUGUAGUUGGAAUUUUUGGUAUCAANCAAAAAAAAAAAAAAAGAAAAAAAAAAAGAAGCAAAGUUUUUUUUUUUCUAUGUCAUAUACACUUUGCAAUUUAUAUUCGUGAGUUUAAUCACUUCUAGCUUAAUUAUGUAUUACACACCACUUGUUAAAUUCAUGAUCUUCAAAUCUAUUUCGUUGGACACUCCAUUUUUUCGACUUUAAUGAGCUCCGGUAGUUGAAAUUGUUACCCAAAACAUUGACCAAAAAAUAGCAAAAUAUAUAUAUUUAAUUAUUAAUAUACACUGCUUCGAAUUAGCAUAUGUGACAAUAUUUAAUUUGUAAAGAAGUGUAAAUUAUGAGAAAAUUAAGUGAUCAAGCAAUUACAAUGCUACUUCAAUACCAAAAAGUGGGGUUAAAUCUUACAUCCAUGUACAUCCAGAAGCUUAGACACUUCUUUUAGACCUUUAAUAUUUUUUUUAAAAAAUUAAUAACUAUAAAAUUAUUGGCCUUUGGAUGAUAGAGUAUAAAAUCUAUGUUUUUGUUUGAAUGUACAACAGAAUUACUCUUUUAAAAUAGUUCACUUUGCCCCCUCGUAGUAUAGUGUAUUUUUACUUUACCAUUAGGUGGUUCAAAAAAUUAUAUUUCACUAUUUUGUGGUUUAGCAUGCUUUCACUUUACCGCCCCGUAAUUCAAAAAGAUUAUAUUUAAUUAUUCUAUAUUUUUAUUUUUAUUUUUUUUAAAAAAAAAGCUUUGAUAAUUAAGACAAAAGGAACACCUAUAAAAAAAGUUUUUUUUUUUUUUUGAGAGAUAGGUAGCACGCUACCCGCUUCGUUUAUUUCAUUUAGAAAUAAACUUAGCUGAAAAUGUGAAUCAAUUAGGAUUCGAACUUAGAUCUCGGGUACCAAGUACCAACCACUAAACCCUAUAAAAGUUGAGCAAUGCUCCUAUGCACCGAACAAAUCUCAGCCAUUAAAAUUCUUUAAAUGUACGGUAACGCUAGACCUAUUAAAAGAGGGUGACCGGCACUUGGGGGUAUAGGUACCGGUCACCACUUUAAUAAGGGCAAAUUUUUUUUUUUUAUUACAUGGAGUUUACAAUGAGGGUAUUUUGGUAAAUUGUCAUCCUCAUAACAUGCCAUUUUUGUAAAUUUAGAAUAUUCCACCUUCCUUCAUUCUUAUCCUCCAAUAUUCCAUCUUUGUAUUAUUACCUUUUCUAAAUUAAACCUCAUGUCUUUAAACCAUAGUUAGUUAAUUCGAAUAUGAUAAAAAUUCGAUACGGAUAAAAUACGAAUAAAAUUCGCAAUUUUAAUUUUUAAGUUCGUUGAAAAAUACGGUUUAAAAAUUAGAUUCGCCAAUAAUUCGCAUACGCGAUUUAUACGAAAAUUUUACGUUUAUCAUUUAAAAAUUCGGAAUAAAAAUUCGUUUAUUUAAUUAAAAUUUUUUUAGAUUUAUGCUAUUAUCAUGCAUAAAUAAUUAUAAUUCUUAUAAAAUAUAAAAAUAAAAUUGGAUAUAUAUAUAUAUAUAUAUAUAUAUAUAUACAUAUAUUAUAUAUACACACACACACAACACACAAACACAAAAAGGGGGAGCAGUCCACGAGGCUGAGUGCAGCCUCGUGGACCGCAAUAUUUUCCUACACGUAGGCCGCGAUUUCUUCUUUCUCGCCGCUCUUCUUUUCCUUUUUUGUUUUAGAAUCAUUUAGUUUAAAUAGUUAACAAAUUUUAUUUUUUUUAGCUAUAAUAUAAAUUAAAUCUAAAUUUAAAAUUUAAUUUUAAUCAAUAUUUUUAAACUUUAAUGUUGUUUUUACUAUCGAAUGAACAGUUUGAAUAUAAUUUUAAAAAUAAAAGAUUUUAAUUUAAAUAAAAAAUAAAAGUUAUGUUUAUAAAUACAGCAUAAUUUAUAAUUUAAAUUAAAUUAGUAUAUUUGAAAUUUCGUGUCAUUUUAAUAUAUCAAAUUAACAAUUUGAAUUGAAAUAUACUAUUCAUUUAAACAUAAAUUUUUUCAUUCUGAAAAUAAAAAUAAAAAUUAAAUUUGAAUUUAAUGUACACAUUUAUUAUAAAGUUUAACCUCAAAUUGAAUUUUAAAUUUAAUUUAUAAAGAUUUAUUACUUAUCAAAUUAGCACUAUCUAAUUUGAUAAGUAACAAAAUUAAACAAGGAAACAAAUAUUUGUAUAAGGUUGAUCAAAUUUGAUAAUUAGUUUGUAUUUUUUUUUCCAAAUUAUCCUUAUGAAUGGUAACCUAUUGAGUAGGUAACCACUAUGCAAAAGUCAAUCUCGCCCUUAAAAUAUGAACGAUUAGAUUUAUUUUAUCUGGUGUAUUGAAGCAUUCCUCAUAAAAGUUAAGAAGAUUAUAAGCCCACCAAUUUGACCCUUUAAAAACGGUAUAGAAUAAUCCAAACCGUGUUGCUUAUGCUCGAAGCUAGCUACGCAAGUGGAGGGCUCAUCGGCACGGUAUCCAUAUAUUAGAUGCAUCUUUGGAUCAUGGACAUGACUAUAACCUUGCGUUUCAGGUUCGACACUCAUGUGCCCGUGUUAGACGAUCAUGUCCAACAUGAAUGCAACAUCAACGCACGUCCACGGCGCAUCCCAUGAUCACGAUGGAUGCGACUACAAAUCAAAUAGAAAGGUCCAGCUAUGGUGCUUUCAGAAGUUGCUAUUUAUAGUUUUUAAAUUUUUUAAAUUUAUAAUAAAACUAUCAUCAAAUAGUAAAUCCUAAUAAUCCAAAAGCUAGAAAGUUAAAAAAUAAAGAAGAAGAUAUAACCAAAUGCAUUCCAACUCAAUACGGGAUAAUAAUAUCCCUCUCACUCAUAAGAUAACAAUAAUUAAUCCCCAACCAAAUUGGACCAAAAGAAGACUUUUGUGGAGUCAUUUUAAAAUAUAAAAUAAAAAACAAAAAACAAAUACUUAUGUUGACUGUUUCGAUCGACUAUGUUAUCGUGUAGUUGGAAUAUUUUGUAUCAAAAUUUUCCAUUGUCAUUUUCUCAAAAAAAAAAAAAAAGCAAAGUUUUUUUUUUCUAUGUCAUAUACACUUUGCAAUUUAAAUUCGUGAGUUUAAUCACUUCUAGCUUAAUUAUGUAUUACACACCACUUGUUAAAUUCAUGAUCUUCAAAUCAAAUCAUUUCGUUGGAUCACACUCCAUUUUUUCAGCUUUAAUGAGCUCAAACAUCGACCAAAAAAUACCAAAAUAAAUAGACAGGAUAUUUAAUUAUUAAUAUACACUGCUUCGAAUCGCACUAUUUAAAAGGAACCAUUUUUUUGUUAAAUUCGUGACUUUCAAAUAUAUUUGGUUGGAUACUUGAUUUUCUUUUUUUUUCAAUUUUGAUGAGCACAUUUCCAAAACAUCGAUGGAGACAACAAAAUAUUAAUUAGAAGGGAACGAAUCGAUUAGCUCUGAUACCGCGUGUUACUUAAAAAAUCGAUGUAAUAGAAAAUAAUUUGAACUUUGUCUUAAAAAAAAUAAUAUCUCAGCAUUUGAGAGAAAAAUAUAAAUAAUAUGAAUAUAUUAGAAAAUAUGUUGCAUUUUUUAAUCAUGAAUAAUGUUAUACUCAUAUAUAAAUUUUAUAACACUUUAGAAAUUAGCAUACAUGGCGAUAUUUAAUUGGUGGAGAAGUUUAAAUUAUGAGAAAAUUCAGUACAUCAAGCAAUUAUAAUUUCUCCUUUAUUUCCUCACUAACGUCUUCAACUUUUGGUCCCAAAAAUCACAUCAUGGUCCUUUGAUUAUUGUGCAAAUCUCACAUUAAUUUUUAAAUUUUAAUUUAUUAUGUUAAAAGAAUUAAUUAAUUUAUUAGAUUGUUUUUAUUUUACUACUGAAACAUUAAGUUUUUAAAUUUUUUAAAUUUAUAAUAAAACUAUCAUCAAAUAGUAAAUCCUAAUAAUCCAAAAGCUAGAAAGUUAAAAAAUAAAGAAGAAGAUAUAACCAAAUGCAUUCCAACUCAAUACGGGAUAAUAAUAUCCCUCUCACUCAUAAGAUAACAAUAAUUAAUCCCCAACCAAAUUGGACCAAAAGAAGACUUUUGUGGAGUCAUUUUAAAAUAUAAAAUAAAAAACAAAAAACAAAUACUUAUGUUGACUGUUUCGAUCGACUAUGUUAUCGUGUAGUUGGAAUAUUUUGUAUCAAAAUUUUCCAUUGUCAUUUUCUCAAAAAAAAAAAAAAAGCAAAGUUUUUUUUUUCUAUGUCAUAUACACUUUGCAAUUUAAAUUCGUGAGUUUAAUCACUUCUAGCUUAAUUAUGUAUUACACACCACUUGUUAAAUUCAUGAUCUUCAAAUCAAAUCAUUUCGUUGGAUCACACUCCAUUUUUUCAGCUUUAAUGAGCUCAAACAUCGACCAAAAAAUACCAAAAUAAAUAGACAGGAUAUUUAAUUAUUAAUAUACACUGCUUCGAAUCGCACUAUUUAAAAGGAACCAUUUUUUUGUUAAAUUCGUGACUUUCAAAUAUAUUUGGUUGGAUACUUGAUUUUCUUUUUUUUUCAAUUUUGAUGAGCACAUUUCCAAAACAUCGAUGGAGACAACAAAAUNAUAUCAAAAAAUCGCAAAAAUUAUUUUCUAGAAACUUCAAAUGCGUUAGAUCAAGUCUAACGGAGCCGAUCGUCGAUUCGAAAAUUCCAUCAUCGAAAACGGCUCAGGAGCACAGAGGCCUCCGUACUCCUGAGAGCACAGCAGCCCUACUCUAUAUAUAUAUAUAUAUAUAUAUAUAUAUAUAUAUAUAUAUAUAUAUAAUCAAUUAAUUAAUUUUUAUAGAUUUUAUUUACAACUUCAAACACCACCCAUGUGGAUUCAUAUUUUCUCACUUUAGUAUCAUAUGGUUUAGAGUGUAUCAAUUUAGUAUUUUGUGAUUUUAUUUUUCUCUUUUUACUAUUUAUUUCACUAAUAUUUUUAUUAAAUCAGUGAGAAAGUUAAAACUAAAUGAUGCAAAAGUGAAUAUUCGAUAAACUUAGAUAGAAUAUCUAAAAUUUUGUAUAUAAUUUAAUAAAAUAUUAUCAGAGAAACUGACGAAAAGAGAAAAAUAAAAUCACAAGAUACUAACUUGAGACAUUUUAAACCACAAAGUAUUAAAAUAAGAAAGUACGAAACCACUGAGAUCGUGUUUGAAGUUUACAUUAAAAUUUUUUAUUUUACUUUUUUGUUCCUAUGCGCAACGUAUUCUAUGGCCAACAUCCAAACACCACGACACCAAAAUAAUACUGGAGCAAAAAUUUGCGUGAAAAUUACCCAAAAUGUCCUUUUCUUUUUUUUAUAUAAACCUCGCCCACACCUCCGACGACGACGAUCACAUACAAAUCUCCUAACAUACCAAAAACAUUCGUUCGUUGAUACAACAAAUCAAACACAUAUGGCCCGGUCCUCGUUUGCUCGCAAUAUGUUGUUAUCUUUGUUAGUCGCAGUUGCUUAUUUCUCCGCGGUGGCGCCGCGCUGCGCGGAAGCCGAGGUGACGUGCCCGGAGGUUUACGGUGUGCUGAUGCAGUGCGUGCCGUACCUGCGGUCGGGGGGCACCCCGGCGCCGCAGUGCUGCAGCGGAAUCCAGCAGCUGCUGGCGGCAGCGAGCACGACGGCCGACCGCCGCACGGCGUGCCAGUGCCUCAAGACCGCCGCGGCGGGCCUCUCCGGGCUCAACCUCGGCUACGCCGUCGCACUCCCGGGCAAGUGCGGGGUCUCGUUCCCCUACAAGAUCACACCCAAUAUCGACUGCUCCACGUACGUAAAGUUACGGCCGUUAAAUAUAAUGUAAAAUUUGUUUGAACCGAAAUUUUUGAUUCGACUAUCUAAUUUUUAAAAAUUUUAAUUUUAAUGUCUAAUCUUUUAAUUUACUUGAUUUGAGUCCGUCAACAAUACUUUGGCUUUCAAAUUAAAACUAAUUAUCUUUUUCAAUGAACUUAUAGUUGUCAGAAUUGUAUGAGGCAUAUAAAUUAAAUUUGUGCAGAUAAAGGACAUAUUUAAAUUUGAAAUUUAAAUAUUAUUGGCGGACUCAAAUUAAAUAAAUUAAAUGAUUGAAUAGUAAAAUAAACUUAUAAUGGUUCGACAUCAGAGUGGGCCUGGCCAAGCACGGCACGAGCACUAUAACACUCGUGUCGGAUGGGCUCGGCCAGUUAAACUGGGCCGUGCUGGGCCUUGCUCUCACGCCCCGAUGGCCUGGCACAGCCCAGCACGACACGAGCCUGGACCGUGCCGAGCCUGAGGGGAUGUCCCGGCCCGACACGACACGGCACGGCUCGACCAAUGUGGUCAGUGCCUCCUAAGGCGGUCCCGAGCAGGGAGUUGGGUUCCCCCUGCACCACCCCAACUCCCAAUGCUUUGGGAGUUGGGUUUAGGAGAUGGGUCUAUUGGACCAAAAUGCCACUGUUGGGAAGAAUAUUUCGGUCCAAAAAAUUUAAUAAUUUAAAAUAAUUUAAAAUUUUAAUAUUUUUAUAAAUGUAUUUUAAAAUUUUAAAUUUUUUUACUUAUAUAUUAUUUUUUUAAAAAAAUAUUUUUUUAUUUUUAUUUUUAAAAAAUUUUAUAUAUUUUUAAAUAAAAUUAAAUAAAUGAAUUCCUUAUCAAUGACACACGUACCCUCUUAAUGUAUUGUGUAUUUUCUUUUGUGAAUUAAUCAUAUAUAUUAUUACUAGGGAUAUGUUCACAGGACUUGAUAGCUAUCCCUACAUUACACCCGGCACGGCCCGGUCUCCAGUCGGGCCGUCCCGAACCGGGUAUCAACCCGACACAGCACAACCCAGUUUCAAGAACCUGGAGCCAGGUCGCGCUGGGGAGCCAGAUCUGACAUGCCUGGCCCGACCCGAAGCUCGAUCAAAGAAAANAUAUAUAUAUAUAUAUAUAUAUAUAUAUAUAUAUAUAUAUAUAUAUAUAUAUAUAUAUAUAUAUAUAUAUAUAGCUAGGCUCCUACGCUUUCGAAAGUACGGGGGCCUCCUUACUUGUAAGUUGUUUUCGACGAUGGGACGUCCGAUUCGGCGAUCGAUUCCGUUAGACAUGAUCUACGCUAUUGGAACUACCUAAAAACCAAAUUUUAUAAAUUUUUGACUUCGUUUGUCUAGUAAACGAGUAGCCUCAAAAUAAACGGCUGAAAAUAAAAAUCUUAUAAAAAACAGUGGUAAAGGACUCAAAUUUCAAAUCGAAAGUAUUGGUCUUACUAUUGACAUUAAGUAGAAUUUUCUAUUAAAUUUUUAUCUAAUUUGAAUACUUCUACACCGUUGAACUUAAAAACGUACCGCAUCGACCAUUAAAAGUCAUUUUUGGGACCUUUUGAUCGCUUAGUAAAUGAUGUCAAAAAAUUAUGAAAUUUGGUUUCUAGAUAAUUCCAAAGGGGUAGAUUAUACCUAACAGAGCCGAUCGUCGAAUCGGAUGUCUUAUCAUCGAAAACAACUUACAAGUAUGGAAGUCCCGGUACUUUCGAAAGUAUAGUAGAUGCACUCAUAUAUAUAUAUAUAUAGAGAGAGAGAGAGAGAGAGAGAGAGAGAGAGAGAGAGAGAGUGAUAAAAUAUUGCGCUAAUGUGGUAAAUAUAAAUCAACGCUUAUAUGAUAAUUCUCAUUUUGAAACCAAUGGUACUUAAUUUUUUAAGGAAGAGAUUUAUUUGCAAUAAUUGAUAAACGUUUAUUAUUAAAUUACAAAAGUUAUAAAAAUUUCAAAAAAAGAAAAAAGGCACUUUUUUUGUUGCCAAACAAACUUACAAAAUAUAUAUUAUCUUCUUUUUUUCCGUCUUAAUUUGCAGGAUACCGUAGGAAGAAGAUGGUCGCAAUGCAGAAUAAAAGAGACCCAAAAGAGAACCUAAUUUGUGUUGGUGCUGCUGAGUUAAUUUUCGUGCAUGUGGCUUAAAAGUAUUCUGGCUUAAUUCUAUAAUAAGAAGAUGACCGGACCGCUAUAUAUAGAGAUAUGUAAUUCUGAUGUGUAUGGUCCAAGAAGUAAUACUUGUUUGGCUGUAAUAAAUUAUAAGAUAAACUUCAAAUGUCAUCUUUAUGGUUUCGCACUUUCUUAUUUUAGUACUCUGUGGUUUAAAAUAUAUCAAUUUAUUAUCCUACGUUUUUAUUUUUCUCUUGUUAUCAGCUCUUUCGUAAUAUUUUAUUAAAUUAUAUACAAAAAAUUUUAGAUACCAUAUAUAGGUUUAUCGAAUAUUUACUUUAGUACCUUUUAGUUUUAAUUUUAUCACUGAUUUAACGAAAAAAAAAUUAGUGGAGAAAAUAAUAAAAAGAGAAAAUAAAAUCACGGGUACUAAAUAAUACAGUUUAAAGCGCAGAGUACUAAAAUAAAAAAAAAACACGAAACCAUAUGGGUGGUAUUUAAAGUUUUCUCUAAAUUAUAUGUCCUGAUUAAUUUAUGGUCAAAAUCUACAGGUUAACCUAAUAUUUAAUUGCACCUAAGCUGUUGAAUUAACUCUUUUCCAAGAAAGUAAGAAAGAAAAGUAAAAUUAAAAAAAUGGUAAGCACGAUCGGUGUAAAUUUGAGGUAUGAUGAACGAGAUAUCAUGGGCAUUAGAGACACCAUAUCAGCAAUAUUAUUGUCACAUUUUAGAUUUUUUUUAUUUUCUUAUGUUGUAAGUAGCUAACAUUUUUUUUUAAAAAAAAUCCUUCAAAUAAUUUGAAAGAAAAUAAAAAAAAAAAAAGAAAAACUAAUGGUGCUUAAACAAAAAGUCCCAUUAUGGAUGUGAAAAAUUUUAGAAUGUACCCGUUAUAUUAAUGAUCUGGUGUCACAUCAUAAUUAUAAAAAAUUAUUUUUAUUGUAUUUUUUUUUCUAAAAAAAAUAUAUAAUUAGCAUGUUAUUGCUGAUGUGGUGCAAGUACAAUACAAUAAACUUUCUCUAUAACUGUAUCCCGAAAAUAAAAGAAAAAGAAAAAAAAUUUGGAUGGGGAGGAAAACCACAGGACACUCCGUUACUUUAUAUAGCUUUAAAAUUCAUGUCAUUUACAUGAUAAACUAUGGACGAAGCGGUCUCAUCUUGAAAAUCCUCCUCAUCAUAAUAUAAAUUGUUUAUAUGUUAUUGGCUAUAUAUGUUUUCUCUUCUAAUUGUAAAUUAGGAGUUUCUCUUAGUCUUAUAUAUAAUUAUUUAGGAUCAGAUAAUAAAGUAAUUCAUAUUAUUCUGAGAAAAUAAUUUAAGGCCACACAUACUAUAUAUGUUAUUAGUUAUAAACAUAGAAUCAUACUCUCCAUAUGAUCGACAAUUGUUUUAAAAUUCUUUAAUAAAUAAAAAAAUAUCAAAUAGGAUGUCUAUCCAAUCAUCCAAAAUUAUCGAUGUUAAGAGUGAAAGAUUAAUAAUAAUCAUUUCAUAUUAAAAAUGGCAACUUACGGCCUAAGACAAGGCCAUUUCGCAUCCAAAAUUCGGAUCGAAUAUGAAACGAGUGCGGUGUUGGCUCAACCCCUUCGAAUCCUAUCGAAUUUCAUAAAGUUCAAUCUCUUCGUGAUCCUCAACCCAUUCGAAUCGCAAAAUUUUUCUUCUCAUCUUAUACUGUUCAAUCAUACCUUGACUAACACAUGAAAAAUAUUUCUUAUAUAUAAAUCUCAUAUCAACUUAAUCACCAUCACCACAGCCCAUAUGGUUGUGCCAUUCAUUGUAGCUCUCGAUCAUCUCAACAAACAUAUUAGAAUUUGACAAUAUAAAUAGAAAAACCAAACAUUUUCCCUCUUUCUUUUUGUUUUUCUCCAAUUUUUUCUUUUUUUUAAUCAUGCUUAGUAAUACAUAAUUCUACUGAGAAAGCAGUGCCCCAAUGUUAUCUGCUAGGCUCUUCACUGUGGUAGGAGACACAGCUCUGCUUCCCCCCAGGUACCAUUUUUGGAUCAUCUGCGCAACGUUGGCAUUUUCCACCACCAUUUUCACUUCUCCUUUUUCCUCCGUCGCAAAUGUUAUCUGCGCUCGUAACCGACAAACGAAAGCGCUUGAUAUUAGUAAAGCUAGAAAUGUAUGGUUUUAGAGCUCAAGUUCAUAAGAAAGAAUUGACGUUCGCCACUAUUUUUCUUCAUUUUGUAACAAAAUUUUCAAAAACGAAACUCACAACUCACCGACCGACCGUCAGAUAUUUUCAAGGGCUAAAGAUAAGUAAGUAAAAUAUUAAUACAAGAACUAUCCCUACGUACAUGCGUGUUUAUCAUUUCAUCUCGUAUAUAUUGCUAAGUUAAAAGUUAUCAAAAUAUUACAGAAAGAGUAAUAUCUGCUCUAUUAAUGAUAAUUAAUUUAUGCCAAAGAUGCUAACGUUGAAGGAACUUUGAUGGUGAUCAUUCCUUUACCUCUGCAGUGCGAGAAGCUACAGGAAAAUAGAAAGUGAUCACUGAAUCCUUCUUGAAAUAUUUGGUUUGGAAAAACUCGGCAAUCUUGUCAAGUGCCUCUUCUUCCUCUUCUUCGUACUUGUCGACGGCCACCAAUCGGUCUCUCACCGAGCUCUCUAACUGUACGCCGUACUGCGAACCCUUUAUCUCCUUUAUCACAACCACUUUGAAAUAUUUCUCCACGGGAGCUGCAGAUGAAUCAUGUAGCAAUGUACAUAUAUAGUUACUCGUUGAAGUCAUGCCAGACUCCUAACAUAAUUAAUUUCCUUCUUUUUAAUUCAAAUUCACGCCAUGGGUCUUCCAAAAAGUCUCGAGCCCAGGCGUGAGGGAGAGUGUUAAAUAUAAAAUUAUAUCAACACUCUUCUCUAAACUUAAACUUUUAGAGUACAACGGUUGUUUCACAUAAAAUAACAUAAGUUACUUUUCUAUUAAUAAAAUGCUAUACUUUAAACCACAAAAUAAUGAUUUGGUCGAUAUACUUUAAACCACAAAAUAAUGAUUAAUUUGCUCAUAUGUCGACCGCUAAAUUUUAAUUUUUCGAAGUUAAUUAUAUAUUGAAAUUAAAUCUCACCUGAAACAAGUGCCUCAAAGAAGGAAUCAUCUUCAGCAAGCAGUGUUCCCUUUUUGCCCUUCCAAUUUCCCAAAUGAUCAACAAUUUUUUCCUUUUCCAAGUAAAUCCCAAUUGCAUUGUACUUGAUUUGUAGGAAAUGAAUUUCUAUAUCAGUAAUACCUGUAAAUGGUACACAUAGUACAACUCCAAAAUUCAAUGUCUCAUAGAUAUAAUUUGACUAUAAAUGACAGAAUAUAUAUGUCAUGGAUAGAUCCCAAAUGUUUAAACAUUUCUUGAAACUUGAUUUUUUUUGAAUUAUUUAAUGAUCCCGUCAAAUUUCGCAGCUCUAACUAUUUUAUAGCCGAAAAACGUUCAGAUCAUCAACAGUUAAUGGAUUCAUUCAGAAUAACUCAAAUCAAAAUAAAAUAAAAGUUAGAAAAUGUUCAAAUAGUACAAUAAAAAGAAAAAUAAAGCUCUGGAGCCUAGUAUUUCAAAAAGUAAACUUCAAAUACCCCUCCUAGUUUCGCAUUUUCUCACUUCAGUACCAUGUGGUUUAAAGUGUAUCAAUUUAGUACUCUGUGAUUUUAAAUUUUUUUUUUGUCAGAUUUUUUUUCGUUAAAUCAGUGACAAAGUUAAAACUAAAAGGUACUAAAGUGAAUAUUCGAUAAAUCUAGAUGGGAUAUGGAAGUUUUUUAUAUAUAAUUUAACGAAAUGUUAACGGAUGAGCUAACGAAAAGAAAAAUAAAAUAAAAUUAUAGAGUAGUAAAUUGAUACACUUUAAACCACGUGAUAUUAAAGUAAGAAAAUAUAAAACCAUAGGGAUGGUAAGAACAUAAUUAAAGUAGCAUAAU
RNAcentral lists this long non-coding RNA (19270 nucleotides) under Ananas comosus (pineapple). RNAcentral's name for it is "long non-coding RNA (ACOM_LNC020574)". The record is from RNAcentral. Lineage: Eukaryota; Viridiplantae; Streptophyta; Magnoliopsida; Poales; Bromeliaceae.